CAGUAGCCACGGGAAUACGAAGGGUGCAAGCGUUAAUCGGAAUUACUGGGCGUAAAGCGUGCGUAGGCGGUUUGUUAAGUCUGCUGUGAAAUCCCCGGGCUCAACCUGGGAAUGGCAGUGGAUACUGGCAAGCUAGAGUGUGUCAGAGGAUGGUGGAAUUCCCGGUGUAGCGGUGAAAUGCGUAGAGAUCGGGAGGAACAUCAGUGGCGAAGGCGGCCAUCUGGGACAACACUGACGCUGAGGCACAAAGCGUGGGGAGCAAACAGGAUUAGAUACCCGAGUAGUCCCUGUCUCUUAUACC
RNAcentral lists this ribosomal RNA (301 nucleotides) under uncultured bacterium. RNAcentral describes it as "partial 16S ribosomal RNA". It matches the Rfam family "Bacterial small subunit ribosomal RNA", at positions 509 to 808 of the family's 1533-position model. The record is from RNAcentral.